RNAcentral lists this ribosomal RNA (468 nucleotides) under uncultured bacterium. RNAcentral describes it as "partial 16S ribosomal RNA". It matches the Rfam family "Bacterial small subunit ribosomal RNA", at positions 28 to 507 of the family's 1533-position model. The record is from RNAcentral.
GACGAACGCUGGCGGCGUGCUUAACACAUGCAAGUCGAACGGAAAGGCCCUGCUUUUGUGGGGUGCUCGAGUGGCGAACGGGUGAGUAACACGUGAGUAACCUGCCCUUGACUUUGGGAUAACUUCAGGAAACUGGGGCUAAUACCGGAUAGGAGCUCCUGCUGCAUGGUGGGGGUUGGAAAGUUUCGGCGGUUGGGGAUGGACUCGCGGCUUAUCCGCUUGUUGGUGGGGUAGUGGCUUACCAAGGCUUUGACGGGUAGCCGGCCUGAGAGGGUGACCGGCCACAUUGCGACUGAGAUACGGCCCAGACGCCUACGGGACGCAGCAGUGGGGAAUAUUGCACAAUGGGCGGAAGCCUGAGGCAGCAACGCCGCGUGCGGGAUGACGUCCUGCGGGUUGUAAACCGCUGUCGCCUGGGACGAAGUGUGAGUGACGGUAAUGGGUAAAGAAGCACCGGCUAACUACGUG